RNAcentral lists this transfer RNA (70 nucleotides) under Cellana radiata. RNAcentral's name for it is "tRNA-Asn". The record is from RNAcentral. Lineage: Eukaryota; Metazoa; Mollusca; Gastropoda; Nacellidae.
UAAGUAGAAGCCAAAAUAUGAGGCACUUGUUUGUUAAUCAAGUAAUUGUAAUAUGAAGUUACCUGCUUAG